Non-coding RNA from Pelobates cultripes (western spadefoot toad), 849 nucleotides. NCBI's taxonomy places the organism in Eukaryota, Metazoa, Chordata, Amphibia, Anura, Pelobatidae. The record is from the annotation of a GenBank genome assembly.
GUCCAAACGUCACAGGUAUAUGCUAUAAAUCAGGGAACCAUCUUGUUACAAACUGCCAUUUGUAACUGUUAUUUUAUUUGACAAAUUGCCCUGCUUCCCUGUGUUGUGGAGAAGCCUAAUUGCCAGCCUUCUGCCCCAUGACUAUGGACCUAGUGUGUAUGGCGAUUUGACUGUAUUUGUGGGAUCUGAGUGCUGUUUGGAUAUAUUGAGCGCUCAGAUCCAAGCCAUCUGGGGAUAGGUUGAAUGUGGGGGUUCUGUUCAGUUCAAUAGGAGUUAUGUAUUUUUGUGUCUUUUUGUGUCUUUUGCUAACAUGUGGUUAAUGGAGUCUGCCUCUAUCCCUGGAUAAUUGGAUUACUUUCCCCAUUGUCCAGGAUAGAGGCCUCUGUGAAACCGGUUUGGGCCAGAAAACCAUGCUGCCAGCCAGGCCCCAAAAGACACUUUUGCUGACUUUUGAACCCCUUGUCUGAUUUGUGCCAUUUUUUGGUGUGUUGCUCCCCUUAAUGGAUUGAUUCCAAAUAUGUAAUUUUUAUGAAGAUUGGAUGUGUAGUUUGGAAGUUAUAGUACAUGUAUAAAGACUGUAUUUUUACUGUUCUGUUUUAGUUAUGUUAUGUGAUUAUCUGAGGGAUGGGAAUUUCCCCGAAUGUAUAUUGUUCCGAUUGGUUAUACUGCUAAUUACGUGGGUGUCUCCCUUGCAUGGGCGGAAUCUCAUAAAAGCAGAGUGUGUGCCAUUAAACAUCAGAUCUUCUUGACCCUCAAUACGUAGCCUUGUCUCGUUAUUGGAGGGAACUGCUAUAUCACACUGGGGAUUGCUAUGCUCUGCAUACUCCCCUGAGCUUUUAAUCACUUAGC